GAUUCCAUAGAUCUAUAUCUUUUGGUUGGCCUGACACAAAAAAAAAACAUAUUCUCUUGAUUUUUUUUAUUUGUUGACAGGCCCGUGUGAAGAUGAUAUAUAUACGUGAGAAGACAAAAUAAACAUUAGUUUGCGAAUAAGAGGUUUUUUAUUCCGCAUCUGAGCUAUGUAACAUCAUAAAAGAGUAAGCUUUAAAUAUGAUCAUCAAUAGGGUUUGGGGUUUGUCGGUGGGUCAGGUGCCCGCCUUGAAAUGCUGCCUGGUGUUUCAAUUUUGCUCCCUCUUAUCACCUUUUCUUCCCAUUGUCCCUCUUCUGUUUUUUUUUUCAGCAUCCAAACAACAAUGUAAUAAUGAUCAAUUAGGUUAUUCAAAUUUAUUUUGCUGAGAAAUAUAUUCGCGUCAAUUUGAUCUCUAUGAUAGAUGUAUUAUCCCACCAAAGUAUGGCCAUGUAAGAAACAUAACUAUAUAAUUUCUCAGAUUGUAAUCUUACUUGU
Arabidopsis thaliana (thale cress) is the source of this 492-nucleotide long non-coding RNA. RefSeq annotates it as other RNA. The transcript has a single exon. The record is from RefSeq. NCBI's taxonomy places the organism in Eukaryota, Viridiplantae, Streptophyta, Magnoliopsida, Brassicales, Brassicaceae.